Long non-coding RNA from Cervus elaphus (red deer), 148 nucleotides. RefSeq lists it as uncharacterized. NCBI's taxonomy places the organism in Eukaryota, Metazoa, Chordata, Mammalia, Artiodactyla, Cervidae. The record is from RefSeq and is a predicted model, not a curated record. The transcript has 3 exons.
UUAGUCACUCAGUUGUGUCCAACUCUUUGCGGCCCCAUGGACUGCAGCCCACCAGGCUCCUCUGUCCAUGGGAUUUCCCAGGCAAGAAUACUGGAGUGGGUUGCCAUUUCCUUCUCCAGGCAAUAUUCCUGACCUGAGGAUCAAACCC